UGGGGAAUAUUGGACAAUGGGCGCAAGCCUGAUCCAGCCAUGCCGCGUGAGUGAUGAAGGCCCUAGGGUUGUAAAGCUCUUUCACCGGUGAAGAUAAUGACGGUAACCGGAGAAGAAGCCCCGGCUAACUUCGUGCCAGCAGCCGCGGUAAUACGAAGGGGGCUAGCGUUGUUCGGAUUUACUGGGCGUAAAGCGCACGUAGGCGGACUAUUAAGUCAGGGGUGAAAUCCCGGGGCUCAACCCCGGAACUGCCUUUUAUACUGGUAGUCUUGAGUUCGAGAGAGGUGAGUGGAAUUCCGAGUGUAGAGGUGAAAUUCGUAGAUAUUCGGGGGAACACCAGUGGCGAAGGCGGCUCACUGGCUCGAUACUGACGCUGAGGUGCGAAAGCGUGGGGAGCAAACAGG
RNAcentral lists this ribosomal RNA (404 nucleotides) under Actinomycetes bacterium. Its description in RNAcentral is "Actinobacteria bacterium partial 16S ribosomal RNA". It matches the Rfam family "Bacterial small subunit ribosomal RNA", at positions 355 to 776 of the family's 1533-position model. The record is from RNAcentral. Lineage: Bacteria; Bacillati; Actinomycetota; Actinomycetes.